RNAcentral lists this microRNA precursor (62 nucleotides) under Heliconius melpomene (postman butterfly). Its description in RNAcentral is "Hme-Mir-96-P2_pre stem-loop". The record is from RNAcentral. Lineage: Eukaryota; Metazoa; Arthropoda; Insecta; Lepidoptera; Nymphalidae.
CUUGGCACUGGGAGAAUUCACAGGAGUUAUAUAAUUACCCGUGAGUUUCCUGAUGCCUCAGC